This 266-nucleotide ribosomal RNA is filed under the name uncultured prokaryote. RNAcentral's name for it is "partial 16S ribosomal RNA". It matches the Rfam family "Bacterial small subunit ribosomal RNA", at positions 355 to 612 of the family's 1533-position model. The record is from RNAcentral.
UGAGGAAUUUUGCGCAAUGGGAGCAAUCCUGACGCAGCAACGCCGCGUGGGUGAUGAAGGCCUUCGGGUCGUAAAGCCCUGUCAGGUGGGAAGAAUGUCCCGGAACUGAACAGGUUUCGGGAGUGACGGUACCACCAGAGGAAGCACCGGCUAACUCCGUGCCAGCAGCCGCGGUAAUACGGCGGGUGCAAGCGUUAUUCGGAAUUCCUGGGCGUAAAGCGCGUGUAGGCGGUCCUGCAAGUCUGAUGGGAAAGCCCCGGGCUUAA